UGGGGAAUAUUGGACAAUGGGCGAAAGCCUGAUCCAGCCAUGCCGCGUGUGUGAAGAAGGUCUUAUGGUUGUAAAGCACUUUAAGCGAGGAGGAGGGUACUGGUAUUAAUACUACCAGGUACUGGACGUUACUCGCAGAAUAAGCACCGGCUAACUCUGUGCCAGCAGCCGCGGUAAUACAGAGGGUGCGAGCGUUAAUCGGAUUUACUGGGCGUAAAGCGUGCGUAGGCGGCUAAUUGAGUCGGAUGUGAAAUCCCCGAGCUUAACUUGGGAAUUGCAUUCGAUACUGGUUAGCUAGAGUGUGGGAGAGGAUGGUAGAAUUCCAGGUGUAGCGGAGAAAUGCGUAGAGAACUGGAGGAAUACCGAUGGCGAAGGCAGCCAUCUGGCCUAACACUGACGCUGAGGUACGAAAGCAUGGGGAGCAAACAGG
Molecule: ribosomal RNA, 430 nt
Filed under: Pseudomonadota bacterium
Lineage: Bacteria; Pseudomonadati; Pseudomonadota
Description: Proteobacteria bacterium partial 16S ribosomal RNA
Rfam family: Bacterial small subunit ribosomal RNA
Source: RNAcentral